CCGCUACUUAAAGUAGCGGUUUGUUGCUGGACCGAGAAAAAAAAAAAUCGGUUUGUUUUUCCUUAGCUGACGUGGGCGGUACGGUGAGAAUUAAAAAAAGAUUAACUGUAAUUUGGGAAUUAGAUAAUUUUCCAACAACAUAUAGGAAAAGGGCUCGUUUAAUAAUAGAUAUAGAAAAUUACCAUAUAUAGUACGGGAACUAAGCAAGAAAAAAAAAAAAAAAAUGUAUCUAAUAAAAACAGAGAAUUAAUCAUGUACACGCACGAAUUUUGGUGCACCUGUUACGGACUAGUGUCUAGUGGUAAGAGAAUGAAACCUCUGAAGUCUAGGUUCAGGGACCAGGAUCAAGCAUUGGCACCACCUCUCUUCUCUCUAAAAGAACAAAUUGCAGCAAGGGCCAUUCUUGACACUUUUGUAGUAACAAACUAACAAGUCACCCCUUUGAAGCGCUGCCGAUCUUCUCGAAUCCAACCCCAUCAUUCAAUUCAUCUUUGGAUGCAGUAGUUUACUUCUAUUUCCCUGUUCAUUACUCCGGAUAAUCAAUUCAUCUAAUUCAAAUGGGUCUUCAAAGUUUGGGGGCAAUGCAACCAUGCUUUUCAUUUACACUGCAUCUUGAAAUGGGUGAAUUUACAAACUACUUAAGCUCAUCGUCCUGUGUGUCGUUGGGAAUGGCAUUUCAAGGACUGAUAUCAUUUCCUCACCCAUUCUUUUCUCAAUAAUCUCACUAUCUGGUGAAAAAUGGCAUAUUACCGCAAUGACCAUGGCUGAGACUGCUUGGGAUUUCACUGUACUGGGAUACUUGGCAAAGCUCAUAUUGGGAAUCUUAGGGAUUUUGGUGAUUAUUUGAACAUUGGAAUAGAAAUUCAGCGAGUGAGAAUAGUGAAGGCAUUUCUUGCGGUGUUCGACGAUUUCUUGCAGGACAGGUUUUUCGAGUUGUUUCGAAAUGGGGAGUGCUGCUUGUGAUGGGAAAUUCGAGCUCGAAAUAAACCAAGAAUAGCCUACACGAGUUCCACCAGUGGAGAAAACAGAAAAAGGGCAUUACUUCUUCUGCAACUAGACCAAAACAUUGCUGUUAGAGAAAGGAAAUGCAGAUGCUGCAAAAAUUGUUCGAGAGUUAUUGUCUAAGGUUCUUGUUCAGCUGUUCAUUUCUACCCUCUUGCAGGGCGGCUAACAAUCAGUCCUGAGGGUAAGUUGAUUAUUGAUUAUACCGGUGAAGGACCGUUGUUGGUCGAGGCAGAGGCGAAUUGCUCUGUGUUGGAGCUGGGAAUAGCUGGUGCUGAUCCCAUGGUGCUAAAGAACCUUGUUUAUGAUGUUCCUUGUGCUAAAAAUAUCAUUGAGACUCCUUUUUUCAGGGUGGAGGUUGGUGUAAUAAUGUUAGAACAUGUGUCUAAGGAAAUCUACUCGACGUAGGUCAUCUAAAUAUAUGGAAGUGCUUAACUUCCCUUUUCCUAUGAAAAAUAUCGUUUACUUAUGUUCUAUUUCGAGAUUGAUUAUGGCGGGAUGGUGUUGUAACUUGUAAGUUGCGAUCAUGUACCCAACAAUACAAAGAGAAACGUAUGUGGAUUAUUAGAGUUCGCAAUUAAGAAUUUGAUCAUACCUAUGAUCAUGUCAAGUUUUUUGAAUUUAUGGUGUAAUACAAGACUAAUUGAAAUUAUUUUACGAUUGUUUGGGU
Long non-coding RNA from Chenopodium quinoa (quinoa), 1672 nucleotides. RefSeq lists it as uncharacterized. The record is from RefSeq and is a predicted model, not a curated record. Lineage: Eukaryota; Viridiplantae; Streptophyta; Magnoliopsida; Caryophyllales; Amaranthaceae. The transcript has 6 exons.